RNAcentral lists this ribosomal RNA (621 nucleotides) under Klebsiella pneumoniae. RNAcentral describes it as "partial 23S ribosomal RNA". It matches the Rfam family "Bacterial large subunit ribosomal RNA", at positions 1014 to 1637 of the family's 2925-position model. Lineage: Bacteria; Pseudomonadati; Pseudomonadota; Gammaproteobacteria; Enterobacterales; Enterobacteriaceae. The record is from RNAcentral.
AGAGGGAAACAACCCAGACCGCCAGCUAAGGUCCCAAAGUCAUGGUUAAGUGGGAAACGAUGUGGGAAGGCACAGACAGCCAGGAUGUUGGCUUAGAAGCAGCCAUCAUUUAAAGAAAGCGUAAUAGCUCACUGGUCGAGUCGGCCUGCGCGGAAGAUGUAACGGGGCUAAACCAUGCACCGAAGCUGCGGCAGCGACACUAUGUGUUGUUGGGUAGGGGAGCGUUCUGUAAGCCUGCGAAGGUGUGCUGUGAGGCAUGCUGGAGGUAUCAGAAGUGCGAAUGCUGACAUAAGUAACGAUAAAGCGGGUGAAAAGCCCGCUCGCCGGAAGACCAAGGGUUCCUGUCCAACGUUAAUCGGGGCAGGGUGAGUCGACCCCUAAGGCGAGGCCGAAAGGCGUAGUCGAUGGGAAACAGGUUAAUAUUCCUGUACUUGGUGUUACUGCGAAGGGGGGACGGAGAAGGCUAUGUUAGCCGGGCGACGGUUGUCCCGGUUUAAGCAUGUAGGCUGAUUGUCCAGGCAAAUCCGGAUAAUCAAGGCUGAGGUGUGAUGACGAGGCACUACGGUGCUGAAGUAACAAAUGCCCUGCUUCCAGGAAAAGCCUCUAAGCAUCAGGUAACAU